RNAcentral lists this RNase P RNA (359 nucleotides) under Burkholderiales bacterium. Its description in RNAcentral is "RNase P RNA component class A". It matches the Rfam family "Bacterial RNase P class A". Rfam says of the family: Ribonuclease P (RNase P) is a ubiquitous endoribonuclease, found in archaea, bacteria and eukarya as well as chloroplasts and mitochondria. The record is from RNAcentral. RNAcentral also lists the same sequence under 2 other names. Lineage: Bacteria; Pseudomonadati; Pseudomonadota; Betaproteobacteria; Burkholderiales.
GAAGUGGGUCGGGCGAUCGCUGCUGCUUUGCAGGAGAGGAAGGUCCGGACUCCAAAGGAAGGGGUGACGGCUAACGGCCGUACGCAGCAAGUAUCCGUAAGGGUGCCCAAGGCGAGGAACAGGGCCACAGAGACGAGUAAGCACGGUUAACUGUGUGGACGUGAAACGCGGUAACCUCCACCCGGAGCAACACCAAAUAGGCGCGCGACUGGUCUCGGCCAGAACAGGUGUUCCGCCUGAUGCGCGCGGGUAGGUGGCUUGAGCCUGUCGGUAACGGCAGGCCUAGAGGGAUGAUCGCUAUAGUUGAUUGUGCGAGCAGUCAACCGUAACAGAAUCCGGCCUACAGACUCACUUCGUUU